Molecule: ribosomal RNA, 713 nt
Filed under: bacterium MS-AsV-38
Lineage: Bacteria
Description: bacterial SSU rRNA
Rfam family: Bacterial small subunit ribosomal RNA
Source: RNAcentral
CGGGUGAGUAAUGCCUAGGAAUCUGCCUGGUAGUGGGGGAUAACGUUCCGAAAGGAACGCUAAUACCGCAUACGUCCUACGGGAGAAAGCAGGGACCUUCGGGCCUUGCGCUAUCAGAUGAGCCUAGGUCGGAUUAGCUAGUUGGUGAGGUAAUGGCUCACCAAGCGACGAUCCGUAACUGGUCUGAGAGGAUGAUCAGUCACACUGGAACUGAGACACGGUCCAGACUCCUACGGGAGGCAGCAGUGGGGAAUAUUGGACAAUGGGCGAAAGCCUGAUCCAGCCAUGCCGCGUGUGUGAAGAAGGUCUUCGGAUUGUAAAGCACUUUAAGUUGGGAGGAAGGGCAGUAAGUUAAUACCUUGCUGUUUUGACGUUACCGACAGAAUAAGCACCGGCUAACUUCGUGCCAGCAGCCGCGGUAAUACGAAGGGUGCAAGCGUUAAUCGGAAUUACUGGGCGUAAAGCGCGCGUAGGUGGUUCGUUAAGUUGGAUGUGAAAGCCCCGGGCUCAACCUGGGAACUGCAUCCAAAACUGGCGAGCUAGAGUACGGUAGAGGGUGGUGGAAUUUCCUGUGUAGCGGUGAAAUGCGUAGAUAUAGGAAGGAACACCAGUGGCGAAGGCGACCACCUGGACUGAUACUGACACUGAGGUGCGAAAGCGUGGGGAGCAAACAGGAUUAGAUACCUGGUAGUCCACGCCGUAAACGAUGUCAA